This 253-nucleotide ribosomal RNA is filed under the name uncultured bacterium. Its description in RNAcentral is "partial 16S ribosomal RNA". It matches the Rfam family "Bacterial small subunit ribosomal RNA", at positions 524 to 776 of the family's 1533-position model. The record is from RNAcentral.
UACGAAGGGGGCUAGCGUUGCUCGGAAUCACUGGGCGUAAAGCGCACGUAGGCGGCUUCUUAAGUCAGGGGUGAAAUCCUGGGGCUCAACCCCAGAACUGCCCUUGAUACUGAGGAGCUUGAGUCCGGGAGAGGUGAGUGGAACUCCGGGUGUAGAGGUGAAAUUCGUAGAUAUUCGGAAGAACACCAGUGGCGAAGGCGGCUCACUGGCCCGGUACUGACGAUGAGGUGCGAAAGCGUGGGGAGCUAACAGG